This is a long non-coding RNA of Salmo trutta (river trout), 802 nucleotides long. Lineage: Eukaryota; Metazoa; Chordata; Actinopteri; Salmoniformes; Salmonidae. The record is from Ensembl.
UGUGCUGGUAUGGAGUGCAGCGCAUAGCCUAACAUUGUUUUUUUUCUUUGUAUUUUUUAAAAGAAAAAUAAAGCAUCAGUGACCUCCAGGAACAGUGGCCUUUCCUUUUCAUCAAGUUAUGGCUCUGCGACCACUUCAAUACCCUCACUGGCAUCGUGAUUGACAGUCGCCUGACUCAAGCUCUCCUGAACAAGGGUCACUGCAAUUCGGGUUGAUGUCGAGGCUCAAACUCCUUUGCCAGACACACCAAGGCUGAUCAUGCUUGGAAAUACUCUAUUGGGUUCCUCAAAAUGGAUGGUGUCAAUUGAGGGGAGAGUGGUCGGUGUUUUGGACAGUGAGUCCAACUUUGCUGCUGCCCUCUGUGCUCUUCAGCACUUUCUAUGUUUUAACAUAGCAUACCAGGAGUCGGCCUUUGCAACCUUGCAGCUGAUACAGAGGUAAGCAUUGAACAUUCAUUGAUCCAACACUUACAUUCAGCAUUUUUUUGUUACAUUGGAAUGAUAUUUCUUAUUGUUAUCUUUUCAAUGCCUCAAUUGAUUUAAUAUAGUCUAUGUUGCGUUGUGCAGGUUCCAGGUUUGAAUAAACCCUGAAGGAACCAAAUGCACAGCGAAAGCAGGAGUAAGCCGCAAGACCAGAAAGGUUGUUCCGAAGAAUCCAUUGCCAAUUAACCCACGUUACACGCUUUCACGCAGACCUGAAGGAGUUUGAGUGGAAAAACUCCAACCUGUAAGUACACAAACACCUGAUGAACACAAACUUUAUUUGUCAGUUGUCAUUUGCCUUUAUAUCCAGCGAGUAAUAU